UUCUCAGAGUGACUUUCCCCAAGCCAUGGGGCUUGGCUAUUAACCAUUUUCAUGGACCAUGCUAGUGGUGAUGCCCUGAAAAAUCCUGGGUCCCAACUGAAGAAGAGCAAACUUGGGGUAGUGACUGCUCUGGAAAUAAGGCUUAAACAGUACUGUGCUGGAAGAUGAUGCAAAAAAAUCUGAUGGAAAAGGAGCUUUCCAAAAGA
This 206-nucleotide long non-coding RNA is filed under the name Cavia porcellus (domestic guinea pig). RNAcentral's name for it is "lncRNA (ENSCPOG00000030468.1)". Lineage: Eukaryota; Metazoa; Chordata; Mammalia; Rodentia; Caviidae. The record is from RNAcentral.